UGUCUCAUUUUUGUAAUCAGGACACUGGGAGGCUCCCUUUUCUCCUUAGCCAUGGCUGGAGGCCAAGUCCAGCCCUCAAGGAUCAUUGUCAGGACCAACACGAGCUGGACAGCCUUGUUUUCCUACCUCAGACGUGA
Molecule: non-coding RNA, 137 nt
Organism: Nomascus leucogenys (northern white-cheeked gibbon)
Lineage: Eukaryota; Metazoa; Chordata; Mammalia; Primates; Hylobatidae
Source: Ensembl